Molecule: ribosomal RNA, 500 nt
Filed under: uncultured bacterium
Lineage: Bacteria
Description: partial 16S ribosomal RNA
Rfam family: Bacterial small subunit ribosomal RNA
Source: RNAcentral
AUUGAACGCUGGCGGCAUGCCUUACACAUGCAAGUCGAACGGCAGCACGGGAGCAAUCCUGGUGGCGAGUGGCGAACGGGUGAGUAAAGUAUCGGAACGUGCCCAGUCGUGGGGGAUAACGUAGCGAAAGUUACGCUAAUACCGCAUACGAUCUAUGGAUGAAAGCGGGGGAUCGCAAGACCUCGCGCGAUUGGAGCGGCCGAUAUCAGAUUAGGUAGUUGGUGGGGUAAAGGCUCACCAAGCCGACGAACUGUAGCUGGUCUGAGAGGACGACCAGCCACACUGGGACUGAGACACGGCCCAGACUCCUACGGGAGGCAGCAGUGGGGAAUUUUGGACAAUGGGCGAAAGCCUGAUCCAGCCAUGCCGCGUGCAGGAUGAAGGCCUUCGGGUUGUAAACUGCCUUUGUACGGAACGAAAAGGUUUGGCCUAAUAAGCUGAGCUCAUGACGGUACCGUAAGAAUAAGCACCGGCUAACUACGUGCCAGCCGCCGCGGUAA